ACAGGUGUGUUCUACAGGUGUGUUCUACAGGUGUGUUCUACAGGUGUGUUCUACAGGUCUUUAUGAUGGGAGGUAUUAGACCAUUCUCCUUGUAUGACUGGUGGAGGAGAGACAGGUGUGUUCUACAGGUCUUUAUGAUGGGAGGUAUUAGACCAUUCUCCUUGUAUGACUGGUGGAGGAGAGACAGGUGUGUUCUACAGGUCUUUAUGAUGGGAGGUAUUAGACCAUUCUCCUUGUAUGACUGGUGGAGGAGAGUCAGGUGUGUUCUACAGGUCUUUAUGAUGGGAGGUAUUAGACCAUUCUCCUUGUAUGACUGGUGGAGGAGAGACAGGUGUGUUCUACAGGUCUUUAUGAUGGGAGGUAUUAGACCAUUCUCCUUGUAUGACUGGUGGAGGAGAGACAGGUGUGUUCUACAGGUGUGUUCUACAGGUGUGUUCUACAGGUGUGUUC
Molecule: long non-coding RNA, 450 nt
Filed under: Salmo salar (Atlantic salmon)
Lineage: Eukaryota; Metazoa; Chordata; Actinopteri; Salmoniformes; Salmonidae
Description: lncRNA (ENSSSAG00000111619.1)
Source: RNAcentral